RNAcentral lists this small RNA (122 nucleotides) under Salmonella enterica. Its description in RNAcentral is "partial RtT sRNA". It matches the Rfam family "RtT RNA". Rfam says of the family: This family represents a bacterial cis-regulatory element known as RtT RNA. The record is from RNAcentral. RNAcentral also lists the same sequence under 5 other names. Lineage: Bacteria; Pseudomonadati; Pseudomonadota; Gammaproteobacteria; Enterobacterales; Enterobacteriaceae.
GUACGGGGAAGGAUGAGAAGCUUCGACUAAGGUUCGAUUCGAGCGCAGCGAGAAAGCGUUGCCGCAGGCAACGACCCGAAGGGCGAAGCGCGCAGCGCUGAGUCAUCCUUCCCCCACCACCA